AGGUGAACCUGCGGAAGGAUCAUUAUCGAGUUUUGAACGGGUUGUCUGCUGGCUCGCAAGGGCAUGUGCACGCCUGUCUCAUCCACUCUCAACUUCUGUGCACUUUUCAUAGGCCGGCUUGUGGGUGCGUUCGCGCACUUGUAGGUGUCGGGCUUAUGCUUUAUUACAAACGAUUCAGUUUUAGAAUGUCAUACUUUGCUAUAACGCAAUUUAUAUACAACUUUCAGCAACGGAUCUCUUGGCUCUCGCAUCGAUGAAGAACGCAGCGAAAUGCGAUAAGUAAUGUGAAUUGCAGAAUUCAGUGAAUCAUCGAAUCUUUGAACGCACCUUGCGCUCCUUGGUAUUCCGAGGAGCAUGCCUGUUUGAGUCUCAUGGAAUUCUCAACCUUCGGCUUCAUUGACGAAGGCUUGGACUUGGAGGUCGUGCCGGCUCUCGUAGUCGGCUCCUCUGAAAUGCAUUAGUGCGAACGUUACCGACCGCUUCAGCGUGAUAAUUAUCUGCGUUGCUGUGGAGGGUAUUCUAGUGUUCACGCUUCUAACCGUCUUCGGACAAAUUUCUGAACUCUGAGCUCAAAUCAGGUAGGACUAC
RNAcentral lists this ribosomal RNA (588 nucleotides) under fungal sp. VKM FW-757. Its description in RNAcentral is "eukaryotic LSU rRNA". The stretch from base 219 to 372 matches the Rfam family "5.8S ribosomal RNA". Lineage: Eukaryota; Fungi. The record is from RNAcentral.